GAUUAGUGGCGAACGGGUGCGUAACACGUGGGCAAUCUGCCCUUCAGUCUGGGACAAGCCCUGGAAACGGGGUCUAAUACCGGAUACCACUCCUGCUGGGAUGGGGGUGGGUAGAAAGCUCCGGCGGUGAAGGAUGAGCCCGCGGCCUAUCAGCUUGUUGGUGAGGUAACGGCUCACCAAGGCGACGACGGGUAGCCGGCCUGAGAGGGCGACCGGCCACACUGGGACUGAGACACGGCCCAGACUCCUACGGGAGGCAGCAGUGGGGAAUAUUGCACAAUGGGCGAAAGCCUGAUGCAGCGACGCCGCGUGAGGGAUGACGGCCUUCGGGUUGUAAACCUCUUUCAGCAGGGAAGAAGCGAAAGUGACGGUACCUGCAGAAGAAGCGCCGGCUAACUACGUGCCAGCAGCCGCGGUAAUACGUAGGGCGCAAGCGUUGUCCGGAAUUAUUGGGCGUAAAGAGCUCGUAGGCGGCUUGUCACGUCGGGUGUGAAAGCCCGGGGCUUAACCCCGGGUCUGCAUUCGAUACGGGCUAGCUAGAGUGUGGUAGGGGAGAUCGGAAUUCCUGGUGUAGCGGUGAAAUGCGCAGAUAUCAGGAGGAACACCGGUGGCGAAGGCGGAUCUCUGGGCCAUUACUGACGCUGAGGAGCGAAAGCGUGGGGAGCGAACAGGAUUAGAUACCCUGGUAGUCCACGCCGUAGACGGUGGGAACUAGGUGUUGGCGACAUUCCACGUCGUCGGUGCCGCAGCUAACGCAUUAAGUUCCCCGCCUGGGGAGUACGGCCGCAAGGCUAAAACUCAAAGGACUUGAGGGGGGCCCGCACAAGCAGCGGAGCAUGUGGCUUAAUUCGACGCAACGCGCAGAACCUUACCAAGGCUUGACAUACACCGGAAACGGCCAGGGAUGGUCGCCCCCUUGUGGUCGGUGUACAGGUGGUGCAUGGCUGUCGUCAGUUCGUGUCGUGCGAUGUUGGGUUAAGUCCCGCCACGCGCGCAACCCUUGUCCUGUGUUGCCAGCAUGCCCUUCGGGGUGAUGGGGACUGACAGGAGACCGCCGGGGUCACCUCGGAGGAAGGUGGGGACGACGUCAAGUCAUCAUGCCCCUUAUGUCUUGGGCUGCACGCGUGCUACAAUGGCAGGUACAAUGA
This 1148-nucleotide ribosomal RNA is filed under the name Streptomyces shaanxiensis. RNAcentral's name for it is "bacterial SSU rRNA". It matches the Rfam family "Bacterial small subunit ribosomal RNA", at positions 90 to 1245 of the family's 1533-position model. Lineage: Bacteria; Bacillati; Actinomycetota; Actinomycetes; Kitasatosporales; Streptomycetaceae. The record is from RNAcentral.